GACGAACGCUGGCGGCGUGCCUAAUACAUGCAAGUCGAGCGAAGUUUUUCUGGUGCUUGCACCGGAAAAACUUAGCGGCGAACGGGUGAGUAACACGUAAAGAACCUGCCUCAUAGACUGGGACAACUAUUGGAAACGAUAGCUAAUACCGGAUAACAGCAUUAACUGCAUGGUUGAUGUUUAAAAGUUGGUUUUGCUAACACUAUGAGAUGGCUUUGCGGUGCAUUAGCUAGUUGGUGGGGUAAAGGCCUACCAAGGCGACGAUGCAUAGCCGACCUGAGAGGGUGAUCGGCCACACUGGGGCUGAGACACGGCCCAGACUCCUACGGGAGGCAGCAGUAGGGAAUCUUCCGCAAUGGGCGAAAGCCUGACGGAGCAACGCCGCGUGAGUGAAGAAGGAUUUCGGUUCGUAAAGCUCUGUUGUUAGGGAAGAAUGAUUGUGUAGUAACUAUACACAGUAGAGACGGUACCUAACCAGAAAGCCACGGCUAACUACGUGCCAGCAGCCGCGGUAAUACGUAGGUGGCAAGCGUUGUCCGGAAUUAUUGGGCGUAAAGCGCGCGCAGGUGGUUUAAUAAGUCUGAUGUGAAAGCCCACGGCUCAACCGUGGAGGGUCAUUGGAAACUGUUAAACUUGAGUGCAGGAGAGAAAAGUGGAAUUCCUAGUGUAGCGGUGAAAUGCGUAGAGAUUAGGAGGAACACCAGUGGCGAAGGCGGCUUUUUGGCCUGUAACUGACACUGAGGCGCGAAAGCGUGGGGAGCAAACAGG
This 768-nucleotide ribosomal RNA is filed under the name uncultured bacterium. RNAcentral's name for it is "bacterial SSU rRNA". It matches the Rfam family "Bacterial small subunit ribosomal RNA", at positions 28 to 776 of the family's 1533-position model. The record is from RNAcentral.